UACGUAGGGUGCGAGCGUUAAUCGGAAUUACUGGGCGUAAAGCGUGCGCAGGCGGUUUGCUGUGUCCGAUGUGAAAGCCCCGGGCUCAACCUGGGAAUGGCAUGGGAAACUGGCGGGCUGGAGUGUGGCAGAGGGGGGUGGAAUUCCGCGUGUAGCAGUGAAAUGCGUAGAGAUGCGGAGGAACACCGAUGGCGAAGGCAGCCACCUGGGCCAACACUGACGCUCAGGCACGAAAGCGUGGGGAGCAAACAGG
RNAcentral lists this ribosomal RNA (253 nucleotides) under uncultured bacterium. RNAcentral's name for it is "partial 16S ribosomal RNA". It matches the Rfam family "Bacterial small subunit ribosomal RNA", at positions 524 to 776 of the family's 1533-position model. The record is from RNAcentral.